AUUCGUUACUACAUGAAGGAUCCGUUCAUGCUCAAGGAUGAUUUUUAAUUUUUGAUACCAGCUAUCGAAAUUAGGCCUAUGAGCUUUUCAUUAUCUAAUAAUGACCGGAGGGAUAGGGUAGUGGCAAUAGCUACAUAAAGAAAAACCAGACCUCUAUUAGUACAUAAAUUAUAAAUACUAAAGACUUGGACUUUAGUCUAAAGUUUCUCCCAGUAUUUUUACGAACCGGUAGUCUCAACCUCCAAUUUGAAGAAUUACUUUAAUUCCUUAGUGGGUACUAGAAUCCACACAGACUACACACGAGCCCAACUUUGGUUGGUCAACCCAUGUGCAUCUAUGGGUAGGUUCAUAACCAGUUGUUUUUCUAAACAACUUCUAGUAAUUGAUUUUGCCCCAGAACCUAAUCAGUAGGCUUUGGCCUCCACUGAAAAGAUCUGGUUAGGGCCAACCAUUAACAUGAUUUGAUUUGAUGAAUCGAACCAAUAAAUAAUCAAGCCCGACUUUGGCCGGCCAACCUGACCACCAUCAGAAAGACUCAAACCAAAUUAUCAUAUUAUGAAUGAUAAUUCCAUUAGUCAAUAAGCACCAGGCCUUUGGGCCUCCAAUGAUUAUUAAACUAAUGGACUCAUUAUCACUCACUUAAUGGGAGGCUAUGACUUAGUUAUCAGUAUAAGUUAAUCAUUUUUAGAGACUUAAUAAUUUUUGAGGAUUUUAUUAAAGGAUAGAUGAGAAAAAAAUAUCCAGCCAAUUUCAAUCCUCCCACUGACUUCACCAAGUCAGAUUAAAAAAGAUUUAAUUAAAGCUGGCAUUAGGAGCACCUAAAUCAGUCAAACUGAUUUACCUAAUGACAUGGGUGAGCCCUAAUCACCAAGUGAUCUAAUCAAAAUCUAAUUCACCAGGUUGGCCAGGUAAGUGAGAUCAAUGGUGGGGAUAAGCCAUUAACU
Molecule: long non-coding RNA, 944 nt
Filed under: Elaeis guineensis (African oil palm)
Lineage: Eukaryota; Viridiplantae; Streptophyta; Magnoliopsida; Arecales; Arecaceae
Description: long non-coding RNA (EGUI_LNC059813)
Source: RNAcentral